This 447-nucleotide ribosomal RNA is filed under the name uncultured bacterium. RNAcentral describes it as "partial 16S ribosomal RNA". It matches the Rfam family "Bacterial small subunit ribosomal RNA", at positions 29 to 523 of the family's 1533-position model. The record is from RNAcentral.
AACGAACGCUGGCGGCAGGCUUAACACAUGCAAGUCGAACGCCCCGCAAGGGGUGUGGCAGACGGGUGAGUAACGCGUGGGAAUCUACCCAGAACUUCGGAACAACUGAGGGAAACUUCAGAUAAUACCGGAUACGCCCUACGGGGGAAAGAUUUAUCGGUUUUGGAUGAGCCCGCGUUGGAUUAGCUAGUUGGUGGGGUAAUGGCCUACCAAGGCGACGAUCCAUAGCUGGUCUGAGAGGAUGAUCAGCCACACUGGGACUGAGACACGGCCCAGACUCCUACGGGAGGCAGCAGUGGGGAAUAUUGGACAAUGGGCGAAAGCCUGAUCCAGCCAUGCCGCGUGAGUGAUGAAGGCCUUAGGGUUGUAAAGCUCUUUCAGUAGGGAAGAUAAUGACGGUACCUACAGAAGAAGCCCCGGCUAACUUCGUGCCAGCCGCCGCGGUAA